CAGAGGUAUCGUAGUUGUUCGCGAACUUUCGGUUCACGGUUGCUUUUGCUUUCUUGCUCGUUUCUGCUCGCGUUGAAAUCGACUGCAGCAGUAGGGGCAUUUGUUAAGAGCAGCAGCAACGUCAAAAGGCCAGCAUGCUGGUGGUGUGGAAAUGCUGCCUUUCGCCAGCAGCUGCGAGAGCAUCUGCAAAGGCUUUCGCAGCCGGACCAGCGCCUUCGCGAUGGCCGAUGAUGACCCAGAAGACUAUGAACAUGUCAACACGAACACGGUCGGCCCGCUUUCAGGCGGCCACAGUCAAGCGCCGUACCCUUCGCGAAAUAAUCAUGGCCCCAGCUGGUGAUUCAGCAUUCAAUGUGGGGAAAGGUGUUCUGGCAGGAGCAUCGGCCUUUGGGCUGGGAGCCCUGUGCUACUAUGGACUCGGCAUGUCAAGUGAAGCUGGAGCCUUUGAGAAAUCCAUG
Molecule: RNA transcript, 458 nt
Organism: Rhipicephalus sanguineus (brown dog tick)
Lineage: Eukaryota; Metazoa; Arthropoda; Arachnida; Ixodida; Ixodidae
Gene name: growth hormone-inducible transmembrane protein-like
Exons: 3
Source: RefSeq, a predicted model, not a curated record